RNAcentral lists this ribosomal RNA (370 nucleotides) under uncultured organism. Its description in RNAcentral is "bacterial SSU rRNA". It matches the Rfam family "Bacterial small subunit ribosomal RNA", at positions 526 to 896 of the family's 1533-position model. The record is from RNAcentral.
CGUAGGGUGCGAGCGUUAAUCGGAAUUACUGGGCGUAAAGCGUGCGCAGGCGGCUUUGCAAGUCAGACGUGAAAGCCCGGGCUUAACCUGGGGAUGGCGUUUGAAACUACGGAGCUGGAGUGUGGCAGAGGGGGUGGAAUUCCACGUGUAGCGGUGAAAUGCGUAGAUAUGUGGAGGAACACCGAUGGCGAAGGCAGCCCCCUGGGCCAACACUGACGCUCAUGCACGAAAGCGUGGGGAGCAAACAGGAUUAGAUACCCUGGUAGUCCACGCCCUAAACUAUGUCAACUAGUUGUUGGGGGAGUUAAAUCCCUUAGUAACGCAGCUAACGCGUGAAGUUGACCGCCUGGGGAGUACGGUCGCAAGAUUA